GACGAACGCUGGCGGCGUGCUUAACACAUGCAAGUCGAACGGAAAGGCCCUGCUUUUGUGGGGUGCUCGAGUGGCGAACGGGUGAGUAACACGUGAGUAACCUGCCCUUGACUUUGGGAUAACUUCAGGAAACUGGGGCUAAUACCGGAUAGGAGCUCCUGCUGCAUGGUGGGGGUUGGAAAGUUUCGGCGGUUGGGGAUGGACUCGCGGCUUAUCAGCUUGUUGGUGGGGUAGUGGCUUACCAAGGCUUUGACGGGUAGCCGGCCUGGGAGGGUGACCGGCCACAUGGGGACUGAGAGACGGCCCAGACUCCUAUGGGAGGCAGCAGUGGGGAAUAUUGCACAAUGGGCGGAAGCCUGAUGCAGCAACGCCGCGUGCGGGAUGACGGCCUUCGGGUUGUAAACCGCUUUCGCCUGUGACGAAGCGUGAGUGACGGUAAUGGGUAAAGAAGCACCGGCUAACUACGUG
RNAcentral lists this ribosomal RNA (468 nucleotides) under uncultured bacterium. RNAcentral describes it as "partial 16S ribosomal RNA". It matches the Rfam family "Bacterial small subunit ribosomal RNA", at positions 28 to 507 of the family's 1533-position model. The record is from RNAcentral.